Molecule: ribosomal RNA, 274 nt
Filed under: uncultured bacterium
Lineage: Bacteria
Description: partial 16S ribosomal RNA
Rfam family: Bacterial small subunit ribosomal RNA
Source: RNAcentral
AUACGGAGGGUGCGAGCGUUGUUCGGAAUUACUGGGCGUAAAGAGCUUGUAGGCGGCUCGUUAAGUCUGAUGUGAAAGCCCUCGGCUCAACCGGGGAAGUGCAUUGGAUACUGGCGGGCUUGAGUAUGGGAGAGGAGAGCGGAAUUCCCGGUGUAGAGGUGAAAUUCGUAGAUAUCGGGAGGAACACCAGUGGCGAAGGCGGCUCUCUGGACCAAUACUGACGCUGAGAAGCGAAAGCGUGGGGAGCAAACAGGAUUAGAUACCCCAGUAGUCC